This 30-nucleotide non-coding RNA is filed under the name Rattus norvegicus (Norway rat). Lineage: Eukaryota; Metazoa; Chordata; Mammalia; Rodentia; Muridae. The record is from RNAcentral.
UUGAACUUUUAACUGGAUAUGUUGUUGCCC